UACGUAGGUGGCAAGCGUUGUCCGGAAUUAUUGGGCGUAAAGCGCGCGCAGGCGGUUUCUUAAGUCUGAUGUGAAAGCCCACGGCUCAACCGUGGAGGGUCAUUGGAAACUGGGGAACUUGAGUGCAGAAGAGAAGAGCGGAAUUCCACGUGUAGCGGUGAAAUGCGUAGAGAUGUGGAGGAACACCAGUGGCGAAGGCGGCUCUUUGGUCUGUAACUGACGCUGAGGCACGAAAGCGUGGGGAGCAAACAGG
RNAcentral lists this ribosomal RNA (253 nucleotides) under uncultured bacterium. RNAcentral's name for it is "partial 16S ribosomal RNA". It matches the Rfam family "Bacterial small subunit ribosomal RNA", at positions 524 to 776 of the family's 1533-position model. The record is from RNAcentral.